GGCGCCUUGGUCAAGUGGUUAAGACACGGCCCUUUCACGGCUGUAACAUGGGUUCGAGUCCCGUAGGCGUCACCA
RNAcentral lists this transfer RNA (75 nucleotides) under Caudoviricetes sp. Its description in RNAcentral is "tRNA-Glu". It matches the Rfam family "tRNA". Rfam says of the family: Transfer RNA (tRNA) molecules are approximately 80 nucleotides in length. The record is from RNAcentral. Lineage: Duplodnaviria; Heunggongvirae; Uroviricota; Caudoviricetes.